Molecule: long non-coding RNA, 2020 nt
Organism: Erinaceus europaeus (western European hedgehog)
Lineage: Eukaryota; Metazoa; Chordata; Mammalia; Eulipotyphla; Erinaceidae
Exons: 2
Source: RefSeq, a predicted model, not a curated record
GGCACCGAGCCCAGCAGUAACCCCGGAGGGAAAUCGUAUCGUGCUUCUACCAGUUCAAAGGGGAGGCGGCGGCGGCCGGGCCGGUUGUGGAGGUGUUGGAGCUCCCACUCUGGGCAGGGCGCACAGGUGCCUCAUUCAGGCAAAAGCCCCCCCCCCUUUUUUUCUUGCCUCCAGGGUUAUCCCUGGGGCUCAGUGUCUGAACUAAGAAUCCACUGCUCCUGUGUCCCAUUUUUUCUUUUAUUUUCCACGAGAGCACUGCUCAGCUCUGGCUUAUGGUGGUGCAGGGGUUGAACCUGAAGACUUUAGAGCCUCAGGCAGCAGAGUCUGAUUACAGAACCACUGUGCUACCUAUCCCCCCACCCCAGCCAUCUUCUCGGAUUUUUUUUUUUUUUGGAUAGGACAGAGAAACCUGUGUGUGUGGGUAGAUGACACCUACAGACCUGCUUCACUGCUUGUGAAGCGACCCACCUGCACAUGGGAAGCUGGGGGCUCUAACUGGGACCCUAACGCUGUGUGCUUAGUGUGCUUAACCCCGGCUACCGCCGCCGGCCCCCCGUGACCCGAAGUCUUGCCUCUUAACUGGCGGCGGGAGAGCUGCAGCCUAGAGGGGUCCGAAGCCCCCCGCCUCAUGACUGAGCCUGUGCACACACGUACAACAAGGCAGGCAAGGGUUUCUGGUUUUGGCUUUGAAGCCUUUUUAUUAAAAAAAAAAAAAAAAAAAAACAACAACAACAAAAAAAAAAAAACCUCAAAAAAAUAUUUUUCCAUUGGAGGCUAUUUCUUUUUUUGUUAUUUUUUUAAAAAAAAAUUUUAUUACACAAAUAGUUCCCGUUCCCAUGUGUCAGAGAAAAGCUAUCUUUGCUCUUGCUAGAACCAGAAGUGGAGAAAUGCCUAGAAACAGUCCAGUAGCUUCCCUCCGUCCCUGGCCCAAAGGAACCCGACAUGUCGGCUCAGCAUGACUCGUCUCUUGAUGCUUACACUUAAUUUAGAUUUCCUUAGCACAACAUCGGAGAUGGACUCUAAGUUAGCAACAAAAAAUAGAUAUUUACAGCAUUUCUCCGGGAAAAACAACAACAAAAAGACGCAACCAAACCCUUUAAACAUAGUGACUUUAGGAGUUUUAUUUAUGGAGAGUUAUUUUUUUUAAUCACCAAGUGAUUUUAUAUUAUAUAUAUAUAUAUAUAUAUAUAUAAAUCUUCUUCCUUUCCUUUGUGGUUUUUCGCCCCGGGGCUUGGAAAGACGGAGGCCGGCUGUGGGGCUGCUCGGCUGAGGAGGGAGGCUCUCCUGGCUGAAGCGGGAGCAGAGCGCAGGCGACGGACGUGAUGGAAUUCUCUGGCCCUCUGCCCCCAAGGGACAGUCCUGUCUCCUCAGCUGGGACCAGCCCUCGAAGUCCCAGAGAAAAGGAAGACCCAGCCAGUGCCUCGGUCUCCUGCUGCCAAUCCUGGGUUUCCCUUUUCCGCUGACCGAGUUACGUGCACGGGUUCUUUGCAGAGAAGUUCCCCGACACUGAGGCACUCUGGAAUAAGUCACUGGCAUUUCCUCAAAGCUCCAGCCCCGGCCGGGCCGCAGGGUCACUCACGGUCACAGACUGCUGUGAAGGUGCAGCCCAGUCAGCAGAUAGGAAGAAGCAGAUGCGAUGCCACCGCCCGCGGGACCCGCCGCCCCUCGCCCCUUGCGAGGCCAGCCCAUGACCCAUGCCGGGGCGGAGCCGGGCGAGGUGGCAAAGGGGGACCCCUCUGCCGCUAUUGCUUUGGAAGUGGCGGGGGCGCAGCCGGCGUGGCGUGGCGUGGUGUGGCGUGUCUCCUGGGGCUCGGGCUGGGGGCUCCUUCAGCUCUGGUGCGGUCGGGCGGCAGGGAAGGGGCUGGGGGGGGCGAGCAGGCGGGCAGGUUGUGCUAUGACUAGCCUUCCUUCCGGUGGGAGCAGAGUGCAAAUCCAUCACGCGUGAGCUCUCGCCACGUCGGUACGGACCCAAGAGGAGCCCCGACCUUUCUGUCCUUUCAUUAAAGUGCAAAAAGCUCUC